Molecule: non-coding RNA, 13669 nt
Organism: Oryctolagus cuniculus (rabbit)
Lineage: Eukaryota; Metazoa; Chordata; Mammalia; Lagomorpha; Leporidae
Source: RefSeq, a predicted model, not a curated record
GAUAGUGAGAGAGACAGAGAGAAAGGUCUUCCUUUGCCGUUGGUUCACCCUCCAAUGGCCGCCACGGCCAGCGCGCUGCGGCCGGCGCACCGCGCUGAUCCGAAGCCAGGAGCCAGGUACUUCUCCUGGUCUCCCAUGGGGUGCAGGGCCCAAGCACUUGGGCCAUCCUCCACUGCACUCCCGGGCCACAGCAGAGAGCUGGCCUGGAAGAGGGGCAACCGAGACAGAAUCCGGCGCCCCGACCGGGACUAGAACCCAGUGUGCCGGCGCCGCAAGGCGGAGGAUUAGCCUAGUGAGCUGCGGUGCCGGCCUCGAAGGGGUACUUUAGAUCUACCUGUGGAGACUCAAGAGGUAGAGAUUUAAUCGUUGACAGAUGUACCCAGCUUGGAAUUCCCUGUGAUUUUACAGAAGUAGGCUGUUGCUGUGGAUUCGUUCUGAGAGGAGGAGCACGGUGGGGGCAAGAGGCACAGAGUCACCACACAGACACUGGGAGUCGGGUGAAUGCGGGCCAGAAGCGAGCAGCCUUCAGACUCCUUUAUUUCAGUUGGUACAGCAGCUUAUAUAGCCGAGGCAGCCAAUCCGGUCAAGGGGCGGUUUAUGCCCUAACCAAUCACUGCCUGUUGCCAGACAGGCUCCUUUGCCAGGUGGGUUCCAAAACCAUUCCUGAGUAACCAAUGCUCGCUUGCCAGCAGCCAUCUUGGCAUGGCCUUCUCAUUCCACCACAGUAGGUAUGCUCAGCAGUACCCAGUAAGUACCCUUCCACUGGGGCUGUAACUGGUCUGAGGGAGACCCUUCCUUCCAGGUCUUUAAUAAAACCAGGUCUCCUGGGGAGAUGGGCUUCUCAUGAGCUUCAGGGUCUGGCGCCGGAAGGACCUUGUUGCCAUACUUGACCAGAGCCUUCUGUAUCUGGUCUAGUUGAUAAUGUACUUUAUCUGAUCUUGACCUCUGAAUCAAAGAGGGUGUCUGAAGUAGAGCCAGUAUCUCUUCCAUAUUUAACCGGGGAAUUCUUGGCAGUCAGUAAGCCCCUCUCUUUCCAGAUUGCUGCCUGUGCAUGUAACACAAGCAAAGCAUAUCUGGAAUCCGUAUAUAUGGUAACUCGCUGGCCUUUUCCCAGUUGUAGAGCCCUAGUCAAUGCAGUAAGCUCCGCCUUUUGGGCUGAAGUAUUGGGCGGUAGAGCUUGGGCUUCUGUUGUCUGAGUAAGAUCCAGUACGGCAUAGCCUGACUUCCUAACUCCUUCCUUCAUAUAGCUGCUGCCAUCUGUAAACCAUUCAGCAUCUGAUUUUCCAAGGGCUCAUCUCGUAGGUCUGGCCUGGUCUAUAGUUUCUACACAGGAAUGGGUCAACGCUCCAGCAUUGUCAGAUGGCAACAAAGUCGCUGGGUUGAGGACCUGACACACCUUAAGGGUUAUUUUAGGUGGAAUUCGGACAGAGAGAGCGAGACAGAGAGAAAGGUCCUCCCUCCAUUGGUUCACCCCCCAAAAUGGCUGCUACGGCCGGAACUGCGCUGAUCCAAAGCCAGGAGCCAGGUGCUUCUUCCUGGCCUCCCAUGCAGGCACAGGGGCCUAAGCACUUGGGCCAUCCUCCACUGCCUUCCUGCACAACAGAGAGCUGGACCAGAAGAGGAGCAGCCGGGACUAGAACCAGCCCACGUGGGAUGCUGGCACCGCAGGCGGAGGAUUAACCAAGAACUUGGCCUCUUGAUGGUUGUGACGUGAGCCUGUUUCCUGUGAGACUCCUGCCCCGGCGUCAGCUGUUGCUGCUGCAGCCUGAGCCCUGCGGACUCCUUAGGCCUGGAGCGUGUGCGGUGCGUCCGCUCCGCCCUGUCGGUGGUGAGAGCCUGGGCUUUACCUUUCCACUCUCUGCUGCCUUUGAAUCGGAACAGUGAAGCUCAGUGAUUAACUAUUGCUGUGGUACGGCUUUCGCUUGCCGUUUCGCUUGCCGGCUGUUCCACCUGGGUUUCUCGGUGGUGGACCUUUUCCCUCUCCCUGCUGUUUUCGGGAAGGAGACUCCUUCGUGCUAAUGUCCCUCCUGUGUGUUCAGCAGUCCGCCUCUGACAGGUGUGCUGGCUGCUGUGGGGUAAGGGCUUCCCACACCGUGCGGACGCCGGAGGGCUAGCUCUGUCCCCGUGAGAGCACACCAUGCCACGCAGCCCUCGUCCCUCUGAGCUGCCCCUCUGCAUGUUCAGUCUCGUGGUGUACUGUUUUGUUGCUUGUCUGUAGAAUUGGUGGGACAGCUGGUCCAGCACAAACCUGCUCUGCCAUUACAGUAAUUUUCCUCAGUAACACCUGACCAUCUUUGGAAUGCAGUUUUACAGUAAGGGCACUUUUCCCCCAUUGCUUGUUCCUGUUUUUACUUUUCUGUCUCUGGUUUCUGUAUCUGUGACUGCGUACACGCUCUCAUUUUCCUAAUUCUGUGAAAACUGAUGGCCUGCCCAACCCCCAUGCAAGAAAUUAAAGCAGCUCCUUUCUCCCCGGAGUGAACGAGAAACUGCAAGUCUACACACCCAAAACACCAGGUGUGUAUUGGGGUGGGGGUGUUGGGUUUUUUUUUUUUAUUGAUUUUGAAAGGCAGAGACAGAAUUUUUUUUUUAAGAUUUAUUUAUUUAUUCACUUGAAAGUCAGAGUUACAGAGAGAGAGAUUGAUUGAUUGAUUGAUUGAUUCCAUCUACUGGCUCACUUUCAACUGGCUGCAACAGCCGGAGCUGGGCCAUUCCGGAGCCAGGAGCCAGGAGCUUCCUCCAGGUUUCCCACACAGGUGCGGGGGCCCAAGGACUUGGGCCAUCUUCUACUGCUCUCCCAGGCCAUAGCAGAGAGCUGGAUGGGAAGUGGAGAAGCCAGGUCUCGAACUGGUGCCCAUUAUGGGAUGCCGGUGCUUCAGGCCAGGGUGUUAACCCACUGUGCCACAGCACUGGCUCCAGAAUCAAUCUUCUAACCGAUGGUUCACUCAAGUGGCCACAAAGGCCAGUCUGAAGCCAGGAGCCUGGAACUCCAUCCAGGUCUCACACGUGGGCUGUGGGGGCCAUCUUCUGGUGCUUUCCCAAGCCAUGAGCAGGGAGCUGGACUGGAAGUGGAGCAGCCGGGGCUUGACAUGGUGCCCACAUGGGAUGCCAGCAUCCAGAGGGCGCAUAACCUGCUGGGCCACAGCACGGCCCUGGGCUAUCUUCUUCACUGAAUGCAAGGUACCGUCUCGCCCCCCGAAGUACGUGAAGCCCCGCAGCCCUGCCGUGCACUAUUUUUGCUAUGCUCUCACUACUCAUCUCUUCCCAAGGAUUGAGAUCUUCUCUGACAGUGAAUUCAGUUCUGCCCCCUCAAAAGACGCCUUCCUUCCACUUCAGUUUCCACGUCCGUCUGCGAGCACCGUUCCUGUCACCACCCAGGUGGGUGCACCACUGCAGUGACGCACGGCUCGGGAGCAAGGGCUGUGUCUAGCCCUGGGUUCAAAUCCUCAUAGCUACGAACGCUUCGCCUCACACGCAUGGCCACUCCCUCCCUCCAUUGCGGAAGGGGUAACAGAGCCUCUUUCUCCUUUGCAAGGGUUCUGUGAGGCCAAAUGUGUUGGGGGGGGGGGCUGCCUUGCACACCCCAGCCUCCUCGGCUUUCUCUCAGUCACCUGCUUCUCUCCCCUUUCCCCCCUUCACUUCUCUGCCUCCUUAGUGCCGGCUUUCCUCUGACAGCUACGUCCAAACACACGGUUUUAGCUGUCAUCCAAGGAUCUGUGUCUUCACGUCUGAAAUUGGAAUGGCUGUCACCAUUUGGACAUCUUAAAGAUGACCGUGUCCCACAACCAGACUUCACAGUCGACUGAACCCAGCCACCAGGACACCUCCACUCCCACCCGAUUCCUCUCCCCAGGCACCCAGCUCUGGCCUCACUGCUGUUGAUUUUAGCUCCUCUUCUUUAACCCUCCUCUUCCUCUCCAAGUCUCAGCCUACAGCCCUGCUACCGCUGAGACCUCAUCAGUGACCUUUCAGUUUCAGUAACUGGAUCGGUGCUGGGGAACUGUGACGCACGAGCACUGGCCCAUCAGUGAGCGGCCGGGAGGCCACCCCUGCCCUCAAGGUCUCUUCGUUUCAGACUAGCCCCGCAAACAGGUAAGAGAAGACAGGGACCGUCGCUUUCUAAAGUUUUUAUUGUGGUCUCAUUUAUUCCUUUAUUCAGGUACAACUUUCCUCAAAGGAAUGUUCAUACAUAAUCUAGAGAGAAAACAGUUACCUUUAUCAACUCCUUGGCUAGCAGGUGCUUCCCUAUUUUUUUCCAAUCCUCAGAGCUGACAGCAGAGCAGCCGUGGGCUCCUGCUUCGCACACUGACAUGAUCUGGCUGCGCACCGACGUCACACAGGGACCUGCUCCAGAUCCCGUCCGGCGAGCGCCCGGAGCUCUCCCCGGCUUCCUCUUGAAUUCAGAGAAUCGCACCUUCCCCAGGCCUCACCAUCGCGAGCCGCCGCGCAGUGUCCCCGCCCUCCCUGCACAAGGGAGGGCUCAGCCAGCCUUUCAGACCCAGGCCGCGUCCUGUGUUCUCGAGGGGACAGGGUCACUCUUCUCCUGUUUCUGGCUGAGGGCCUGGGGGGCUGCACAGUCGUGCCUUAGGCUCCUUUCCAGGCUCCGUGGGGUCACUGGCACUCCUGCAUUCCACGUUCUAAUUCUGUGAUGCCUGCCGCUACCUGGCCUUUGCUAACUGGGGCCAUCCUCAGAUACCUAAGAACUCCUGACUCUGGGGUCCUCCUCGCUAUUUUUCGCUCCGCUGUUCCAGCGCUUCUGUUGGACUUGCUUCCGCAGCAGGCUCUGGCUCCAGAGGAAGCGAAGGCGGCUUUGGGAGCGGGGCUGCGCCUCCAGCACCUAGGGCAGAACAGAUGGUACGCACGCUUGAGGCCGGAGCCCCACUCUCAGUGUCAGCAGCAAGUCCGGCAACUGCAGCUGCGCAGGAAACUAACAGCAACAGUCACAGCUGCUGAGACGCCGACUGCCAGCACCCCGGCUAACAGUGUCCUUGGCAGUGUCCUGCACGGCUGGCCCUGAGGAAGCCAGUGCGACACUGGAUGUGCAGGGGCCAGCCUCCCGCUCCAAUCUGAUCUGCUGGCACGGGGGCUCGCACCCACGCAGUCUUCCUGGAGCUCUGGGUAGCCUCCUACCUGAAGGGAGCGUCCUGUACGCAGCUGCUGAAGACAUCGCCUGCCCGAGAGCCUGGUUGGAGCCCAGAGGCUGCUGCAGACCGGCGGGCUUGCUGCUCGAGGGGCUGCGGUGCUUUGACUUGGGGUCUUUGACUGGUUUAGUCCAGACCAGGGCCUCCCCCACCUGGAGAGCAGCUCCCAACUUCUGAGCCAUCUCCACCAUCUUGUGUCCCGACAGAGAGAGAAGAGAGUCAGACGUGACUAGCCGAGAUGAGCCAACCCCUCUCCCCAGCCUCCCAGCAGGAGUGCGGUGGGUUCCAACACGACGCAGGGAGUCGUUGUCACUCAGCAGAAGCACAGGCUGCCUUCAGUGAAAAGUGACAGCUCGAGCCGGCGCACAGUGGAGCUGCAAACACGGCCCAGAGACACAGACCCGACUCCUGGGUUGCACCCGCAACAGGAGAGGACAAGCCAGAAUUCUGAUUUCUUCCAGGAGUACUCCUCUCAAGUAAUUACUGCCUCUCCUUCUCUGUGUAACUAUGACUUUCAAAUAGAAAGAAAAGAACCCACAGAGCCAAGAGCUUACAAGCCCUUAACGUCGGGUGGUUUGGGCUUGACCUAAGUCUCCUGCAGCUUGCAGGGAGCCUCUGAGAGCCAUACCUCUGAGUCAAUCUCCAGAGAGCCGCUGUCCUUGAGGAGGCGGGCUUUCUUCUCCAGCUCCUGGUACUGGGCCAGCGCGCCCCUCUUCUCGCCCUGGUUGUACAGCAGCACGGCAUAGUUCAGGUUUACCAAAGGGUUACACCUGUGGCAGACACAUGGAGUCUGUGGCCUGCAGCUUGCAACAAAUGGUCACUUACAAAUGCUUCUCACACAAAAACAAAACAAAACUGAUUAAGUGGAAGUUUUUCCAUCCUGCAGCAAGAUGGGACCCAAGUGUUGUGUGGACCUGUGGAGAGGAAUGACAGAAGUAACUGCCCACCAGCAAAGCAGGUGUCCGCACCAAGUCUGACAUCUCAGCCCUCAGAGGCCACCACGGCAGGGCUGCUCUCUAGCAGUGUCCCAGACAGCCCAGAGCCCCCGUGUGACAUCCAGCCAUCAGCAGCCCAAGCCUGCUGCCAGCUCUGACCACUACACACAGGCCUGGACACCUUCUCAGGAGCAGUGUCCACUCCGACCUUGGGAACCAUCCUUCCACACUGGAGCCUGCUGUGUACAGAGGCUGGAGAACAGCCUGGUGACCCGCCCUGUGAGCCCAUGCCCCCCUGCUGCGCCCUGGCAGGGCACUCACUGAUCCAGGCGGACGGCCUCUGCGUAGGCUCUCUUGGCGUUCUCUAUAUCCUCCAGAUUGGUCAGGGCCACUACAACAAACAGAUUGUGGGCUGCAGCUUAGAAUCGUGGGGCCAGCGCUGGGCUGUGGUGGGUUAAACCUCCACCUGCAGCACCAGAGUCCCGGCUGCUCUGCUUCCAAUCCAGCUCUCUGCUAAUGGCCUGCGAAGACAGCAGAGGAGGGCACAAGUCCUUGGGUCCCUGUACCCAUGUAGGAGACCCAGAGGAAGCUCCCAGCUCCCAAUCAGCUUAGCAAUGGCUGCUGUGGCCAUUUAGGGAGUGAACCAGUGGAUAGACGUUCGCUCUGUCUCUCCUUUUCUCUCGCUGUAGCUCUGCAUCUCAAAUGAAUUUAAAAAAAAAAAAGGUACACACACACACACACACACGAUUCCAAGGCCCCUCCCAAUUCAACUCUUGUACCACCUCAGCUCAGCACAACGUGUGCACAGCCCUGAAUACCUGGUGCCGUCAACAGUCCCCUACCACAGCCCGACAGCUGCCAGGCUCUGUGCACCCCGCCCUGUAAUGCCCUGGUUUAAGCUCUACACUUCCCCAGUGGCAGUGACCCACCUGCUUCCAUUCCACCUUGCACAGUGUCACUAGGUUCUCACUGAUGCACCUGACCACACCCCAUCUUACCAAAGAGGCCUCGCUGGUUCCCCUCACUAUAAUAACCAGGAUACUACACUGAUUGGUCUAGCUUGUUUUUGUGUCUGUAUGGCAUAGAUUAGUUUCAGGGGUGGAAUCUCAUUGUACACAACAUGCUCAGAAAUGAGGGUCUCCACAAUAGGUAGCCUGACUGGGACCAGCUGUAAUAACAACACUCCGUGAAGGAGUGACAGACAGAUCUGGCUCACUCCCUAAAUGCCCCCAACAGCCGGAGCUGAGCCCGGCUCAAGCCAGGAGCCUGAAACUCCAUGCGGGUCCCCCACGUGGACAGCAGGAACCCAGGCACCUGGGCCAUCUGCUGCUGCUUUCCCGGGUGCUUUAAGAGGGAGCUGGAAAAGCAGUUUUGCUUUGCCAGGUGGGACUCAAACCAGAGUCAGAAGUGGUGGCUUAACCCGCUGUGCAACAGUGCAGCCCUGCCACAACACUACUACUGACGACAGAGCAGGGCAGUUGUUGGGCCUAACCAUUAAACUGCAGGGCCUGGGUUCCAUUCCCAGCUCAGCUCUGAAGUCCAGCUUCCUGCUAAUGCACACCCUGGGAGGCAACGUGAUGGCUCCAGUGGUUGGGUGGUUGCUGCCCAUGUGGGAGACACGGGUCACGUUCCCAACUUCAUCCCUGGCCCAGCCCCAGCCAUCAUGGACAUCUGGGAGGUGAAACAUUGCAUGGGAACUCUCAAUUAAAUUCAUCUGUAAAGGUAUAGCCUCUAUAUAUAUAAAGAUUUUAUUUAUUUGAAAAGUAGAGUUGGUUCACUCCCCAGGUGGCCGCAACGGCCGGAACUGCGCCGAUCCAAGGCCAGGAGCCGGGUGCUUCUUCCCAGACUCCCAUGUUGGUGCAGGGGCCCAAAGACUCAGGCCAUCUUCCACUGCUUUCCCAGGCCACAGCAGAGAGCUGGAUUGAAGAGGAGCAGCCGGGACUUGAACCGGCGCCCAUAUGGGAUGCCAGUGCCACUGGCAGAAGAUUAACCUACUGUACCACAGCCCCAACCUACUAAAUAUUUUCUAAAGUGACCAUAACAAAAUCAACAUGUGGGGGCUCACACCGCCAUCCUGUAUUAGACCACCGGUUCAUGUCCUUAUUGCUCUGCUUCCAAUCCAGACCCCUGCUGAUGCGCCUGGGAAGGCAGUGGAAGACGGCCGGGUGUCACCAGGUAGGAGUUCAGAAUGGAGUUCCAAGCUCCUGGCUUCAGCCUGGCCCGGACCUGGCUGUGGGAGCCACUUCUAGAGUGAACCAGUGGAUGAAAGACUGUCACUCUGCCUUUUGUGCAAAUAAAUGAAGCUCAACAUUCACUGAGUGUUCAGCUGACCCUGGGUAAACACAGUAAAGAAGGCAGACGCCACCCAAAGACCAAGCUCAGGGGUGGGCAUUUGGCCUGGUGGUGAAGCUGCUACCUGGGAUGGCCACAUCCCUUAUCACAGGGCCUGGGGUUCAGGUCUUGCCUCUGCUCCAGGUCCAGCUUCCUGCCGAUGUGCACCCUGGGAGGCAGCAGGUGACAUCUCCAGGAGUUGUAUCCUUGCCACCCAUAUGGGAAACUGAGUUUCUAGCUCCAGCUUUGGCCUGACCCAUCCCAGCACUGGUGGACAUCAUCUGUUUAAAGAGCUGGGAUGCCAACUCUGGGAACCCCAGCACUUAAGCUGCAGUAGCAGAGAUAACAGACUUCUAAAAGUGGUAACAACAAAGCCCAAGCUUGUAACCCUCAUUAUCUAGAACUUUCCAAGAGAAGAAAAUUGGUCAGCCGAAUGAGACAGGACCCCGCUUUGAGCUGUUGGUCUCUGGGUGGCAUCCACAGGUCCUGUAGGAUCUCCUGGAGGACAGCUUCCAUGAGAGACUUAGCGUGGGCCUUCUAGGACUUGAAUCCAUUUCCCCUCCCGCCAGACCACGGAGUCCACGUGACCGUGUCUCACCGGCCAGGAGCAUGUAGAGCUCUCCCAUCUUCGGCUGGAAGUUGAUGGCCGCACUCAGGAAGUGGAAAGCCGAUGCGUACUGCUGCAUGGUCAAGUGGACGAGGCCCAGGUUGUACAGAAUCUUCCAGUCAAACGGAGCCAAGUAGUUUGCACGUUUCAGGCAGCUGAUAGCCUGCAGGAGGAGGGGCGAGCUCAGCAGACCCGCUAACCGCGUAUGUGACGAAAACAGGAUGCACACAGGGACACUCACUGCCACGUAUUUCUUCUUCCCAAAGAAGCACAUUCCGAUGUUAUUCCACAGGGGAGGACUUUCCGGAACAGCACAAGCGACAACUCUGUAUUUGGUGAGGGCGACGUCAAAGUCCCCGUGCGUCUGCAUCAUGCUGCCUGCUGCCAGGAUGGCCUGCGAACACAGCACACGACAGCAACAGCUCAGUCACCGUCACCGUCACCAUCACCUCCACCCCUGCCCCGGAGGUCCAUCAGAAAAGACGGCGGGACAUGGACAAUACAUCUGAGCUGUGGGCGCCAACACCCGAGGCCACCCCUGCACCCCACGCUGUGGCUCUCAGGCACAGCUUCUAGCCAGAGAAGCCAUUUAUUUUAGGACGUCAAGGUCCCUAGAGUAAAAACUGCCUCGAUUCUGUUCUCUGCAGCCCCUGACAACCUGGCCUGCCCUGGCUCCCUCAGUCCAGCCCUGCAUUUCUCAAGGAAAGCAGGGAGACGGAGUCAAGGAGUCUGGCCCACUCCACCCUCGACAGAAACAUCCUGACUCUUCGGAGAGAAAAAGCUACAGGUAUCACACACAGAAAACUGAAGAGCCCCCAUGUUCUUCUUCUAUUCUGUCAACACGUCCCCAGCUGGGUCAGUGUGCUUGUGGGGACCGCCUCUGCCUCCCGGCGUGGGCCACAGGGCCGCUGGGCGAGAUGAGCUGCUGAGCCUCCUCUCCGUGGGCCCCGAGCCAAGUCGGUGAGACCUGGGGCACGCUCCCGAUUCCCUUGUCAGCAGAAAAGCCACCCUGGGGCAGCAUCAGCUGGGGAGGCUGAUGAGGGUGGGUGGGUGGCUCCUCGGGGACCCCUGGGCCCUGAGGCUUACGCAGUGGAGGGACAGAGCUGGCAGAAGCCCACUCCCAUGCAGGCAUGUGGAAGGGACUCCUCACUCCAGGUGAGGGCACUUUGCCUUGUCUUUCCCAGAAGCCUCUAGCUGGGAAGGAGCAACAGCAGAGGGGUCUCCCAGCCCUGGACACUGCUGCCCGUCAACAGUGACGGAGCCCAAGCCCUGGACACUGCUGCCCCGUCAACAGUGACGGAGCCCAAGCCCACGCAGAUGCCUCAGGCUCCUUCCUUGACUGGGUAGGAACUGUCAUUGUAGAACCCUAACACAGAACUGCUCUUCUUUGGAGUGCAUAAAAUCAAUUCUUGUAUCAAAGAAAACCAAACACAGACAGCAAGGCUCAUGUGUUUCAGGUGUUUAUUAAAAUGCGCUAAUUAUCGAAAUAAAAGAAAACCACCAGGCACACACACCUACACCAUUUCUAGUACCAACACAGGAAGGAGAGUGAAGCGCUUUCUCACCUGUAAGUAGAGUAACCCUAAAGUUGUAAGCAGCUCUGUGUUUUCUGGUGAGAACCUGCAACACAGAGACGGGAAGCAGAACAUGCGUGAGACCCUGCCCUGGUGCCACACCUGAGCAACGCCACUGAGCCCCCACUCCCACUCCCACUCCCGUCUGCACAUGCAGUUACCUUGGGUGGGCACUUGGCCACUUAGGGAACCCACAUCCCAUGCUGGAGUAGCUGGGUUCCAGUCCCAGCUGGCUCCUGCCUCCAGUUUCUUGCUGAUGCAGACCCUGGGAGGUAGUGGUAACAGCUAAGUGACUGGGUCCCUGCUGCCCAUCUGAGAGACCUGGACUAAGUUUCCAGUUCCUGGCACUAACCUCAGCCCAGCACGGGCCAUUGCAAGCCUCUGAGGAGUGAAUUGGCAGACGGGGAGCACACUGCCUCUCAAAUAAAUAUGAAAAAAAUUGGGGUCCAGCACUGCAGCAUAAUGAGCUAAGCCACUGCCUGCAAUGCCAGCAUCCCACAUGGGCGCUUGUUCAAGUCUUGGCCAUCCACUUCCGAUCCAGCCCCCAUGCUAAUGUGCUGGAGAAAGCAAUGGAGGAUGGCCCAAGUUCUUGGACCCCUUCACCCACAUGGGAGACCUGGAAGAAGCUUCUGGAUCCUGUUUUCAGCCUGGCCCAGCCCCAGCUGUGGAGGCCAGUUAGGGCGUGAGCCAACAGAUGGAAGAUCUAACUCUGCCUUUCAAAUAAAUAAAAAUGAAUACUUUGAAAAGGAAAAAAGUUUUCAAGAAAGAAUAGGUCGUUUCAGCCCAACCUACAGGGAAGACUGCUCAGCAAGAAAGGUACCAAGACUGAAUGCAGACUCCAUUCUCAGGGCCUUUUUGAAGGAGGACCAAAGUCCUAACAAAGAAUGGUGUGUGACUGUCUUUGUUACACUAACAAAAUAAGCAAUGUUCAAGGCCACACACAACAACCUCCUCUUGUGUUCUGUUCCUGGUGUGUCACAGGACCAGGCAGUGUGAAUUUAGGAUUCCAGGAAGUGUCAGUUAGGAUCCCAGGAUCCCCAGUGCUGUGCUCUCAAAUUAAGAAGUCGACCUAAACAAAAGCAAGACGGGGCUGGUGCUUUGGUGUAGCAGAUAAAGCCUGCAGUGCCAGCAUCAAAUAUGGGUGCCGCAUCAAGUCCCGGCUGCUCCACUUCCAACCCAGCUCUCUGCUAUGGCCUGGGAAAGCAGUACAAGAUGGACCAAGACCUUGGGCCCCUGCACCUGCGUGGGAGACCCGGAAGAAGCUCCUGGAUCCUGGCUUCAGAUCAGCACAGCUCUGGCUGUUGCAGCCAUUUGGGGAGUGAACCAGUGGACGGAAGACUUCUCUCUGCCUUUCAAAUAAAUAAAUCUUUAAAAAGGCAAGAAGAGACACUGCAGCCCUCGGAAGGAAUCAGCUGUUGGCCUUGGGAAGCAGUUCUCAGUCCUUACUGGCAUUUGUCUUUGACACAAACCAAAGCAACAGGGGCAGGUGCUGUGGCACAGCAGGUUAAUGCCCUGGCCUGAAGCACCGGCAUCCCAUAUGGGCGCCGGUUUGAGAACCGGCUGUUCCUCUUCUGAUCCAGCUCUCUGCUAUGGCCUGGGAAAGCAGUAGAAGAUGGCCCAAGUCCUUGCGCCGCUGCACCCACGUGGGAGACCCAGAGGAAGCUCCUGGCUCCUGGCUUCAGAUUGGCACAGCUCCGGCCACUGCGGCCAACUGGCGAGUGAACCAUCGGAUGGAACACCUCUCUCUCUCUCUUUUUCUCUGCCUCUCCUCUCUUUGUGUAACUGACUUUCAAGUAAAUACAUCUUUUUAAAAAAUGCUAUUAAAACAAAAACAAAGCAACAUAGAGCUGACAGCUGACAACACCAAAGGGCAAAAAAUUAUGUCACAUGCUUCUAAGGACCAGGCAGGACACUGGCUACCUGCAGGGAGACCAGGAGCUGAGACCAAAGCCCCCCGCAGGGAAGGCUGAACACAGCUCUCCUAGUUCAGUGGGGAAUCUGCCUUCCUCCUGCCAUGAUAGAUACCCACUCCGACCAACCACCUCCCCCAUGUAAGCACCUUCUGUGGUUCCCGCAGCUUCCAUGGCCCCACCAAGGCAAGACUGCUCUCCCCAAAGCUGCCAGGCAGAAACGGGUCUCAACUUUCUCUGGGGCUCCACUCAGCUCUCUUUUUCUGCCUUUGGGAACAGUGACUCCAGUACUUGAUCAGCCAGUGGAAGAAUGGAUUCCUUGGAUGUGUGUGAGCCAAUCCCAGAGAGCCAGCCUCCAGAAGGCAGGGCUCGGGCUGACGCUCAGCACCACAGAGGCACUCCUACACGCUACAGGGUUCCUUCCUGCCCAGAUGAACUCAGCCUCUAGAUGACAAAAGUCUCUUGUUGUUUAAUAAACAAAGAAUUGUUUCUGACUUACUGAAAAUAAGGUUGAAGAAAACUCAGAAAGCAGUGUGUGACUACUACAGCCUGGCAGCUGACCACCAUGGAAGACGGCGGCCAUUGUUGAGUAGAAUCUGGCUCCCUGGCUCAUGCAGUCAUGGGCUGAUGGCAAUUACAGGGUGAGGGCUUGAUCCACUCACAGCAUCUGAAGGCAGAGCCUUGGAAAGUGCUCAGACUGGGUUAGGCUGCGAAGUGGGGCCCUGAUGACUGACACCAUGGUGGCUCUCUAGGACAAGACCACACAGACAUGUGGGUGGGGUGGGGGGUGGCAGGAGAUGAGCACGUUCCCUCUCACUCUUUCUGCUCACCCCAUCACCAUCCCUCCACGUGUAUUCUGCCAUCCACUGUCUUCAGACAACAGACUAAUGGGGCCACCCAACCUUGGACUGUGAAUCUCUGAAACCAUGAGCCAAAAUAAUCCUUGUUCUUCUACACGUGACUCCUCUCACAUACUUUAGUCAUAGAGAUUAAUACAAGGUAAUUGAUAAAUAGAAACCUAAGUAUAGUUCAGAGUGUAUCAGAUCCAUGAAUAGACAAGACCAGGGUGGAAUCAGUUCCACUAACAGAGGCUUGGAUUACCCUAGUGAUAUUUUAUUUAAAAAAAAAAUUAAAAAAAAAAAAAAAAACCAUGAUCAGUUCAUGCUGAGACCAG